Molecule: signal recognition particle RNA, 306 nt
Filed under: Cucumis sativus (cucumber)
Lineage: Eukaryota; Viridiplantae; Streptophyta; Magnoliopsida; Cucurbitales; Cucurbitaceae
Description: SRP RNA Plant_SRP
Rfam family: Plant signal recognition particle RNA
Source: Rfam by way of RNAcentral
GCCGAGUCCGGUUGCGCUGGCUUAUGACCCGAGUGGGGGCGUUAUAUUGAUGGAACGGAAGGUUUCAUCCUGGUGGGCUGGAUCUGUCGUGGCUUCAUUCUGGGCCGCCCGUUUCAAGCAUGGAGAAAGCCAUGGAGCUUAGGCGGAGGCCCAAGUACCAUGGGCUUGUAAAGCGGGGGAGAACGCGUGAGGCUGGCUUCACAGAGCAACGUCAACUUCCCUCUCCUUGCAGUGGAAGGAUAACGGUCCGUGUCCGUCGGGUCCAAUUUGUCCCAGUGGGGUGCCCCUCACCGAACCAUCCUUCUU